GCCGGGCGCAGUGGCGCGGCGUGCCUGUAGUCCCAGUUACUCGGGAGGCUGCGGUGGGAGGAUCGCUUGAGUCCAGGAGUUCUGGGCUGCAGUGCGCUAUGCGGAUCAGGUGUCCGCACUAAACUCGGCAUCGAUAUGGUGACCUCCCGGGAGCGGGGGACCACCAGGUUGCCUAAGGAGUGGUGAACCGGCCCAGGUCAGAAACGGAGCAGGUCAAAGCUCCCGUGCUGAUCAAUAGUGGGAUGGCGCCUGUGAAUAGCCACUGCAUUCCAGCCUGGGCAACAUAGCGAGGCCCUGUAUCU
This is an unclassified non-coding RNA of Saimiri boliviensis boliviensis (Bolivian squirrel monkey), 302 nucleotides long. It matches the Rfam family "Metazoan signal recognition particle RNA". Rfam says of the family: The signal recognition particle (SRP) is a universally conserved ribonucleoprotein. It is involved in the co-translational targeting of proteins to membranes. The record is from Ensembl. Lineage: Eukaryota; Metazoa; Chordata; Mammalia; Primates; Cebidae.